UACACUCCUGCGGGAGGCAGCAGUGGGGAAUUUUGGACAAUGGGGGCAACCCUGAUCCAGCAAUGCCGCGUGAGUGAAGAAGGCCUUCGGGUUGUAAAGCUCUUUUGUCAGGGAAGAAACGGUGGUGGCGAAUAACUACUACUAAUGACGGUACCUGAAGAAUAAGCACCGGCUAACUACGUGCCAGCAGCCGCGGUAAUACGUAGGGUGCAAGCGUUAAUCGGAAUUACUGGGCGUAAAGCGUGCGCAGGCGGUUGUGUAAGUCAGAUGUGAAAUCCCCGGGCUCAACCUGGGAAUUGCAUUUGAGACUGCACGGCUAGAGUGUGUCAGAGGGGGGUAGAAUUCCACGUGUAGCAGUGAAAUGCGUAGAUAUGUGGAGGAAUACCGAUGGCGAAGGCAGCCCCCUGGGAUAACACUGACGCUCAUGCACGAAAGCGUGGGGAGCAAACAGGAUUAGAAACCCUGGUAGUCCAUG
Molecule: ribosomal RNA, 475 nt
Filed under: uncultured organism
Description: partial 16S ribosomal RNA
Rfam family: Bacterial small subunit ribosomal RNA
Source: RNAcentral